GGGUUGUGAGGUUAAGCGACUAAGCGUACACGGUGGAUGCCCUGGCAGUCAGAGGCGAUGAAGGGCGUGCUAAUCUGCGAUAAGCGCCGGUAAGGUGAUAUGAACCGUUAUAACCGGCGAUACCCGAAUGGGGAAACCCAGUGUGACUCGUCACACUAUCAUUAACUGAAUCCAUAGGUUAAUGAGGCGAACCGGGGGAACUGAAACAUCUAAGUACCCCGAGGAAAAGAAAUCAACCGAGAUUCCCCCAGUAGCGGCGAGCGAACGGGGAGGAGCCCAGAGCCUGAAUCAGCAUGUGUGUUAGUGGAAGCGUCUGGAAAGGCGCGCGAUACAGGGUGACAGCCCCGUACACAAAAGCGCAUGUGCUGUGAGCUCGAUGAGUAGGGCGGGACACGUGGUAUCCUGUCUGAAUAUGGGGGGACCAUCCUCCAAGGCUAAAUACUCCUGACUGACCGAUAGUGAACCAGUACCGUGAGGGAAAGGCGAAAAGAACCCCGGCGAGGGGAGUGAAAAAGAACCUGAAACCGUGUACGUACAAGCAGUGGGAGCACCCUUUGGGGUGUGACUGCGUACCUUUUGUAUAAUGGGUCAGCGACUUAUAUUCUGUAGCAAGGUUAACCGUAUAGGGGAGCCGGAGGGAAACCGAGUCUUAACCGGGCGUUAAGUUGCAGGGUAUAGACCCGAAACCCGGUGAUCUAGCCAUGGGCAGGUUGAAGGUUGGGUAACACUAACUGGAGGACCGAACCGACUAAUGUUGAAAAAUUAGCGGAUGACCUGUGGCU
Molecule: ribosomal RNA, 782 nt
Filed under: Salmonella enterica subsp. enterica serovar Oranienburg
Lineage: Bacteria; Pseudomonadati; Pseudomonadota; Gammaproteobacteria; Enterobacterales; Enterobacteriaceae
Description: partial 23S ribosomal RNA
Rfam family: Bacterial large subunit ribosomal RNA
Source: RNAcentral